Long non-coding RNA from Arabidopsis lyrata subsp. lyrata, 1179 nucleotides. RefSeq lists it as uncharacterized. The transcript has 5 exons. Lineage: Eukaryota; Viridiplantae; Streptophyta; Magnoliopsida; Brassicales; Brassicaceae. The record is from RefSeq and is a predicted model, not a curated record.
UUCAGGAUUGUGAAGUAGCAUGAAGCCGAGUAUUGGAAAUAUGUAGAGGAAGUGUCCCCAGGAGAUUUGUAGGAGAUUUAGACGUGUAUCUAGACGCUAUAUUGGAUGCAAUUGUCAAGUUGAAGAAGACACUAAACAUCAGAUAUUCCACCGAGUGUUCCUACUGUAAAUAAUAUGAUCACUUUUACAAAAGAGAAGCCAAGAACCGGAGCAAGAAACCGACUUGUAGAAACGGUAAUUCAAAUGAAAGACAGGGGACCUUGAUUUUCCAUCUCUAGAGGAGUUGUUAUCUUCUUCUAGUUUCUUAAGUUUAAUCAUCCUCCCAGUAGCAGAUUUCAUAGCCAAUGGACCAUUUUCGAGUUGUUGGUUAUGAAUUCUAAAUCUGUGGCACAUAGGAGACAAGCGGUAGGAACCAACAAACCUCAUCGAUGAAGACGGUCUCUUGAAGGUAUAUGUCACGAACAAGCACCCUAAGUAGAUUUGAUGGAAAGCAUGUUUCAGAAUUCUUUGUGAAACCAGGGUUAAGUAAAUUUCUCCAAAGAAACUGAUCAGAUUGGGAAGAGCCAGUGACUGCCAAUAGGAUAAACCUGAGAGAGACAUUACUAGCCAGCCAAGAUAUACCAGAAACUUGAAGACCAUUUGAACCAGUGAGAUCAAUUAGAGGACUAGAUUCGCCAAUCAUCGAAUAAGAGCCAGUACCAACCUGAAAAAGGAGAUAAAGCAAGUCUGCCCACAAAGCACAAAGAGUACUUGAUCAGUCUCUUCCACACUCAGCUUCCCGAACCCAGAAAAUCUGCAUCCUAAACAACAUAUCCCUUCGAAAGUGUGAUAUCUUGAAUCUCCAUACAUUCAUACAUGCAUACAUUCAUCCAUACAUCCAUACAUCCAUACAUCCAUACAUGCAUACAUUCAUACAUGCAUACAUUCAUUCAUGCAUACAUUCACAUGCAUACAUUUGCUUUCUUGAUUUAUUGCUGAGGUCAUUGCUUGCUUCAUUAGCUUAUUUUCAUUUAUGUACUUGCUUGCUUGUUUCUUUCUCUGAUUGUUUUACAUGUUUAACUUGCUCACUUUAUUCCUUCUUUGUUUCUUUGUUUAUUUGAUCGUUGCUUACUCAAUUGCUUGCAUCCUUCUUGGUGUACUUCUUUUAUUCUUUGAUAUAUCGCUUACUUAACUGAUUCA